UUAGUGGGCGAAACGGGGUGAGUAAACACGUGAGUAAACCCUGCCCCUCCCACUCUGGGAUAAGCCUGGGGAAAACUGGGUCUAAUACUGGAUAUGACGCAUGCUCGCAUGGGUGUGUGUGGAAAGAUUUUUGGUGGGGGAUGGGCUCGCGGCCUAUCAGCUUGUUGGUGGGGUGAUGGCCUACCAAGGCGGUGACGGGUAGCCGGCCUGAGAGGGCGACCGGCCACACUGGGACUGAGACACGGCCCAGACUCCUACGGGAGGCAGCAGUGGGGAAUAUUGCACAAUGGGCGGAAGCCUGAUGCAGCGACGCCGCGUGGGGGAUGACGGCCUUCGGGUUGUAAACUCCUUUCGCCAGGGACGAAGCUUUUGUGACGGUACCUGGAGAAGAAGCACCGGCUAACUACGUGC
Molecule: ribosomal RNA, 411 nt
Filed under: uncultured Devosia sp.
Lineage: Bacteria; Pseudomonadati; Pseudomonadota; Alphaproteobacteria; Hyphomicrobiales; Devosiaceae
Description: bacterial SSU rRNA
Rfam family: Bacterial small subunit ribosomal RNA
Source: RNAcentral